UUCGGCAAUGGACGAAAGUCUGACCGAGACAACGCCGCGUGAGUGAAGAAGGUUUUCGGAUCGUAAAGCUCUGUUGUAAGAGAAGAACGGGUGUGAGAGUGGAAAGUUCACACUGUGACGGUAUCUUACCAGAAAGGGACGGCUAACUACGUGCCAGCAGCCGCGGUAAUACGUAGGUCCCGAGCGUUGUCCGGAUUUAUUGGGCGUAAAGCGAGCGCAGGCGGUUAGAUAAGUCUGAAGUUAAAGGCUGUGGCUUAACCAUAGUACGCUUUGGAAACUGUUUAACUUGAGUGCAGAAGGGGAGAGUGGAAUUCCAUGUGUAGCGGUGAAAUGCGUAGAUAUAUGGAGGAACACCGGUGGCGAAAGCGGCUCUCUGGUCUGUAACUGACGCUGAGGCUCGAAAGCGUGGGGAGCGACAGGAUUAGAUACCCUGGUAGUCCACGCCGUAAACGAUGAGUGCUAGGUGUUAGGCCCUUUCCGGG
RNAcentral lists this ribosomal RNA (482 nucleotides) under Streptococcus gordonii. RNAcentral's name for it is "bacterial SSU rRNA". It matches the Rfam family "Bacterial small subunit ribosomal RNA", at positions 364 to 838 of the family's 1533-position model. The record is from RNAcentral. Lineage: Bacteria; Bacillati; Bacillota; Bacilli; Lactobacillales; Streptococcaceae.